This 164-nucleotide ribosomal RNA is filed under the name Pseudoroegneria libanotica. RNAcentral describes it as "Elymus libanoticus 5.8S ribosomal RNA". It matches the Rfam family "5.8S ribosomal RNA". Rfam says of the family: 5.8S ribosomal RNA (5.8S rRNA) is a component of the large subunit of the eukaryotic ribosome. It is transcribed by RNA polymerase I as part of the 45S precursor that also contains 18S and 28S rRNA. Functionally, it is thought that 5.8S rRNA may be involved in ribosome translocation. Lineage: Eukaryota; Viridiplantae; Streptophyta; Magnoliopsida; Poales; Poaceae. The record is from RNAcentral.
CACACGACUCUUGGCAACGGAUAUCUCGGCUCUCGCAUCGAUGAAGAACGUAGCGAAAUGCGAUACCUGGUGUGAAUUGCAGAAUCCCGCGAACCAUCGAGUCUUUGAACGCAAGUUGCGCCCGAGGCCACUCGGCCGAGGGCACGCCUGCCUGGGCGUCACGC